AAUACCUCUAAAGGUGGUAUAUCAACAAUUCUUAUGCUACUGUCUGAGAAAACAGAUUCUGCUGUUACCUAAGAAAUCAGCUGGGAGGCAUUUUUAUAAUCUUGCACCACAUAAGGAAAAACUGAAAGGUAGUACUAAUAAAUGCAAACUACAUCACCUGGAAAAUGGGAAUCCAGAAUGUCACUUUAAAUAUUUAAGUGUUGUAACUUUGGGUAAAAAAUAAAUAUGAUAAAAUAAAUCUUUUGGUAAGCUUUGUGUAGCUUAACAUCAGCAUAAAGUAGAAAAAAAAUCUUAAAAACAAUAGCCUACACUAAAAAACAAAACAAAACUAACAUCCAAUUCAUAUAUAUUGAUCUUUGCAUUGGGAGAGUCUAAAGCAGAACAUUUGAUGGACUUGAUACAGUUAUUUUUACCAUAUGGGCAUACUGAUAAAAUCAUCUAUAUUUAAUUUGAAUAAAACAUGUUGGCAGGGCACGGUGGCUCACGCCUAUAAUAUCAGCACUUUGGGAGACCGAGGUGGGCGGAUCACCUGAGGUCAG
RNAcentral lists this long non-coding RNA (539 nucleotides) under Homo sapiens (human). Its description in RNAcentral is "HSALNT0123613". Lineage: Eukaryota; Metazoa; Chordata; Mammalia; Primates; Hominidae. The record is from RNAcentral.